RNAcentral lists this ribosomal RNA (405 nucleotides) under uncultured Thermoanaerobacteraceae bacterium. RNAcentral describes it as "bacterial SSU rRNA". It matches the Rfam family "Bacterial small subunit ribosomal RNA", at positions 355 to 776 of the family's 1533-position model. The record is from RNAcentral. Lineage: Bacteria; Bacillati; Bacillota; Clostridia; Thermoanaerobacterales; Thermoanaerobacteraceae.
UAGGGAAUCUUCGGCAAUGGGCGAAAGCCUGACCGAGCGACGCCGCGUGGGGGAAGACGGUCUUCGGAUUGUAAACCCCUGUCUUCCGGGACGAGGCAGGACGGUACCGGAGGAGGAAGCCCCGGCGAACUACGUGCCAGCAGCCGCGGUAAUACGUAGGGGGCGAGCGUUGUCCGGAAUCACUGGGCGUAAAGGGUGCGUAGGCGGUUGGCUAAGUCUCGUGGGAAAGGCCCCGGCUUAACUGGGGAAACCCGCGAGAGACUGGCGAGCUGGAGGGCCGGAGAGGGUAGUGGAAUUCCCGGUGUAGCGGUGAAAUGCGUAGAGAUCGGGAGGAACACCAGUGGCGAAGGCGGCUACCUGGACGGUACCUGACGCUGAGGCACGAAAGCUGGGGGAGCAAACAGG